RNAcentral lists this long non-coding RNA (219 nucleotides) under Malus domestica (apple). RNAcentral describes it as "long non-coding RNA (MDOM_LNC000442)". The record is from RNAcentral. Lineage: Eukaryota; Viridiplantae; Streptophyta; Magnoliopsida; Rosales; Rosaceae.
CUUUACCUUGCUCCGAUAUUGGAGUUGAGCCCAUACACAGAAAUCGAUUCCUUAUUGUUUUGAGAAAGUAUUACAUGGGUUGUGCUCUUGGGGGUUUCAUUUAUGUCGAAAGAUGGAUGGAACAUGUGUAUUACAAUGAAAUGUGAAUUUGAUGGGUGGUGUAGCCUUUGCAGAUUUAUGCAUAGCUUUGCAGAUUUGUUUUUUUCGCUAAAAAAAAAU